Molecule: ribosomal RNA, 624 nt
Filed under: uncultured bacterium
Lineage: Bacteria
Description: bacterial SSU rRNA
Rfam family: Bacterial small subunit ribosomal RNA
Source: RNAcentral
CAGGAGGGAGCUUGCUUCCUUGCUGACGAGUGGCGGACGGGUGAGUAAUGCUUGGGAAUCUGUCUUAGGGAGGGGGAUAACCACGGGAAACUGUGGCUAAUACCGCGUAUAAUCGGAAGAUGAGAGGUGUGGGACUGAAGAGCCACAUGCCCUAAGGUGAGCCCAAGUGAGAUUAGGUAGUUGGUGGGGUAAGGGCCUACCAAGCCGACGAUCUCUAGCUGGUCUGAGAGGAUGACCAGUCACACUGGGACUGAGACACGGCCCAGACUCCUACGGGAGGCAGCAGUGGGGAAUAUUGCGCAAUGGGGGGAACCCUGACGCAGCCAUGCCGCGUGAAUGAAGAAGGCCUUCGGGUUGUAAAGUUCUUUCAGUGGUGAGGAAGGUAAUAAUGUUAAUAGUAUUAUUAAUUGACGUUAGCCACAGAAGAAGCACCGGCUAAUUCCGUGCCAGCAGCCGCGGUAAUACGGAAGGUGCGAGCAUUAAUCGGAAUAACUGGGCGUAAAGGGCACGCAGGCGGUAACUUAAGUGAGGUGUGAAAGCCCAGGGCUUAACCUUGGAGGUGCAUUUCAUACUGGGUUACUAGAGUACUCUAGGGAGGGGUAGAAUUCCACGUGUAGCGGUGAA